This 2870-nucleotide ribosomal RNA is filed under the name Salmonella enterica subsp. enterica serovar Newport str. CVM79_1594. RNAcentral's name for it is "bacterial LSU rRNA". It matches the Rfam family "Bacterial large subunit ribosomal RNA". Lineage: Bacteria; Pseudomonadati; Pseudomonadota; Gammaproteobacteria; Enterobacterales; Enterobacteriaceae. The record is from RNAcentral.
GGGUUGUGAGGUUAAGCGACUAAGCGUACACGGUGGAUGCCCUGGCAGUCAGAGGCGAUGAAGGGCGUGCUAAUCUGCGAUAAGCGCCGGUAAGGUGAUAUGAACCGUUAUAACCGGCGAUACCCGAAUGGGGAAACCCAGUGUGAUUCGUCACACUAUCAUUAACUGAAUCCAUAGGUUAAUGAGGCGAACCGGGGGAACUGAAACAUCUAAGUACCCCGAGGAAAAGAAAUCAACCGAGAUUCCCCCAGUAGCGGCGAGCGAACGGGGAGGAGCCCAGAGCCUGAAUCAGCAUGUGUGUUAGUGGAAGCGUCUGGAAAGGCGCGCGAUACAGGGUGACAGCCCCGUACACAAAAGCGCAUGUGCUGUGAGCUCGAUGAGUAGGGCGGGACACGUGGUAUCCUGUCUGAAUAUGGGGGGACCAUCCUCCAAGGCUAAAUACUCCUGACUGACCGAUAGUGAACCAGUACCGUGAGGGAAAGGCGAAAAGAACCCCGGCGAGGGGAGUGAAAAAGAACCUGAAACCGUGUACGUACAAGCAGUGGGAGCACAGGUUUACCUGUGUGACUGCGUACCUUUUGUAUAAUGGGUCAGCGACUUAUAUUCUGUAGCAAGGUUAACCGAAUAGGGGAGCCGGAGGGAAACCGAGUCUUAACCGGGCGUUAAGUUGCAGGGUAUAGACCCGAAACCCGGUGAUCUAGCCAUGGGCAGGUUGAAGGUUGGGUAACACUAACUGGAGGACCGAACCGACUAAUGUUGAAAAAUUAGCGGAUGACCUGUGGCUGGGGGUGAAAGGCCAAUCAAACCGGGAGAUAGCUGGUUCUCCCCGAAAGCUAUUUAGGUAGCGCCUCGUGAAUUCAUCUCCGGGGGUAGAGCACUGUUUCGGCUAGGGGGCCAUCCCGGCUUACCAACCCGAUGCAAACUGCGAAUACCGGAGAAUGUUAUCACGGGAGACACACGGCGGGUGCUAACGUCCGUCGUGAAGAGGGAAACAACCCAGACCGCCAGCUAAGGUCCCAAAGUCAUGGUUAAGUGGGAAACGAUGUGGGAAGGCCCAGACAGCCAGGAUGUUGGCUUAGAAGCAGCCAUCAUUUAAAGAAAGCGUAAUAGCUCACUGGUCGAGUCGGCCUGCGCGGAAGAUGUAACGGGGCUAAACCAUGCACCGAAGCUGCGGCAGCGANNUGCUGGAGGUAUCAGAAGUGCGAAUGCUGACAUAAGUAACGAUAAAGCGGGUGAAAAGCCCGCUCGCCGGAAGACCAAGGGUUCCUGUCCAACGUUAAUCGGGGCAGGGUGAGUCGACCCCUAAGGCGAGGCCGAAAGGCGUAGUCGAUGGGAAACGGGUUAAUAUUCCCGUACUUGGUGUUACUGCGAAGGGGGGACGGAGAAGGCUAUGUUGGCCGGGCGACGGUUGUCCCGGUUUAAGCGUGUAGGUGUGUGUUCCAGGUAAAUCCGGUUCACUUUAACACUGAGGCGUGACGACGAGGCACUACGGUGCUGAAGCAACAAAUGCCCUGCUUCCAGGAAAAGCCUCUAAGCAUCAGGUAACAUCAAAUCGUACCCCAAACCGACACAGGUGGUCAGGUAGAGAAUACCAAGGCGCUUGAGAGAACUCGGGUGAAGGAACUAGGCAAAAUGGUGCCGUAACUUCGGGAGAAGGCACGCUGACACGUAGGUGAAGUGAUUUACUCAUGGAGCUGAAGUCAGUCGAAGAUACCAGCUGGCUGCAACUGUUUAUUAAAAACACAGCACUGUGCAAACACGAAAGUGGACGUAUACGGUGUGACGCCUGCCCGGUGCCGGAAGGUUAAUUGAUGGGGUCAGCGCAAGCGAAGCUCCUGAUCGAAGCCCCGGUAAACGGCGGCCGUAACUAUAACGGUCCUAAGGUAGCGAAAUUCCUUGUCGGGUAAGUUCCGACCUGCACGAAUGGCGUAAUGAUGGCCAGGCUGUCUCCACCCGAGACUCAGUGAAAUUGAACUCGCUGUGAAGAUGCAGUGUACCCGCGGCAAGACGGAAAGACCCCGUGAACCUUUACUAUAGCUUGACACUGAACAUUGAGCCUUGAUGUGUAGGAUAGGUGGGAGGCUUUGAAGCGUGGACGCCAGUCUGCAUGGAGCCGACCUUGAAAUACCACCCUUUAAUGUUUGAUGUUCUAACGUGGACCCGUGAUCCGGGUUGCGGACAGUGUCUGGUGGGUAGUUUGACUGGGGCGGUCUCCUCCUAAAGAGUAACGGAGGAGCACGAAGGUUGGCUAAUCCUGGUCGGACAUCAGGAGGUUAGUGCAAUGGCAUAAGCCAGCUUGACUGCGAGCGUGACGGCGCGAGCAGGUGCGAAAGCAGGUCAUAGUGAUCCGGUGGUUCUGAAUGGAAGGGCCAUCGCUCAACGGAUAAAAGGUACUCCGGGGAUAACAGGCUGAUACCGCCCAAGAGUUCAUAUCGACGGCGGUGUUUGGCACCUCGAUGUCGGCUCAUCACAUCCUGGGGCUGAAGUAGGUCCCAAGGGUAUGGCUGUUCGCCAUUUAAAGUGGUACGCGAGCUGGGUUUAGAACGUCGUGAGACAGUUCGGUCCCUAUCUGCCGUGGGCGCUGGAGAACUGAGGGGGGCUGCUCCUAGUACGAGAGGACCGGAGUGGACGCAUCACUGGUGUUCGGGUUGUCAUGCCAAUGGCACUGCCCGGUAGCUAAAUGCGGAAGAGAUAAGUGCUGAAAGCAUCUAAGCACGAAACUUGCCCCGAGAUGAGUUCUCCCUGAGACUUAGAGUCUCCUGAAGGAACGUUGAAGACGACGACGUUGAUAGGCCGGGUGUGUAAGCGCAGCGAUGCGUUGAGCUAACCGGUACUAAUGAACCGUGAGGCUUAACCUUACAACGCCGAAG